UACGUAGGUGGCAAGCGUUAUCCGGAUUUACUGGGUGUAAAGGGCGUGUAGGCGGGAUCGCAAGUCAGAUGUGAAAACUGGAGGCUCAACCUCCAGCCUGCAUUUGAAACUGUGGUUCUUGAGUACUGGAGAGGCAGACGGAAUUCCUAGUGUAGCGGUGAAAUGCGUAGAUAUUAGGAGGAACACCAGUGGCGAAGGCGGUCUGCUGGACAGCAACUGACGCUGAGGCGCGAAAGCGUGGGGAGCAAACAGG
Molecule: ribosomal RNA, 253 nt
Filed under: Flintibacter butyricus
Lineage: Bacteria; Bacillati; Bacillota; Clostridia; Eubacteriales
Also listed under: 1 other name
Description: partial 16S ribosomal RNA
Rfam family: Bacterial small subunit ribosomal RNA
Source: RNAcentral